GCGGACGUAGCUCAGCUGGUAGAGCACCACCUUGCCAAGGUGGGGGUCGCGGGUUCGAGUCCCGUCGUCCGCU
This 73-nucleotide transfer RNA is filed under the name Actinobacteria bacterium QS_5_72_10. Its description in RNAcentral is "tRNA-Gly". It matches the Rfam family "tRNA". Rfam says of the family: Transfer RNA (tRNA) molecules are approximately 80 nucleotides in length. The record is from RNAcentral. Lineage: Bacteria; Bacillati; Actinomycetota. RNAcentral also lists the same sequence under 1 other name.